Molecule: ribosomal RNA, 433 nt
Filed under: uncultured bacterium
Lineage: Bacteria
Description: partial 16S ribosomal RNA
Rfam family: Bacterial small subunit ribosomal RNA
Source: RNAcentral
AACGAACGCUGGCGGCAUGCCUAACACAUGCAAGUCGAACGAGACCUUCGGGUCUAGUGGCGCACGGGUGCGUAACGCGUGGGAACCUGCCCUUAGGUUCGGAAUAACUCCCCGAAAGGGGUGCUAAUACCGGAUAAUGUCUUCGGACCAAAGAUUUAUCGCCUUUGGAUGGUCCCGCGUUGGAUUAGCUAGUUGGUAGGGUAAAAGCCUACCAAGGCGACGAUCCAUAGCUGGUCUGAGAGGAUGAUCAGCCACACUGGGACUGAGACACGGCCCAGACUCCUACGGGAGGCAGCAGUGGGGAAUAGUGGAAAAUGGGCGAAAGCCUGAUCCAGCAAUGCCGCGUGAGUGAUGAAGGCCUUAGGGUUGUAAAGCUCUUUUACCCGGGAUGAUAAUGACAGUACCGGGAGAAUAAGCGCCGGCUAACUCCGUG